RNAcentral lists this ribosomal RNA (399 nucleotides) under uncultured microorganism. RNAcentral's name for it is "bacterial SSU rRNA". It matches the Rfam family "Bacterial small subunit ribosomal RNA", at positions 9 to 402 of the family's 1533-position model. The record is from RNAcentral.
GAGUUUGAUCGUGGCUCAGGAUGAACGUUAGCGGCGUGCCUAACACAUGCAAGUCGAACGAACAGCCAGAAUCUUAGGAAUCUGGCGGGUUAGUGGCGCACGGGUGAGUAACACGUAGGUGACCUGCCCCGAAGUGGGGGACAACCACUGGAAACAGUGGCUAAUACCGCAUGUGCUUAGCCAUUCGGUUGGUUAAGUAAAGCUGAGGCGCUUCGGGAGGGCCUGCGGUCGAUUAGCUAGUUGGUGAGGUAAUGGCUCACCAAGGCGAUGAUCGAUAGGGGGCGUGAGAGCGUGACCCCCACACUGGGACGUGAGACACGGCCCGACGACUCCUACGGGAGGGCAGCAGUGAGGAAUAUUGCACAAUGGGCGGCAAGCCUGAUGCGAGCAACGCCGCGU